RNAcentral lists this long non-coding RNA (1226 nucleotides) under Homo sapiens (human). RNAcentral describes it as "HSALNT0372899". The record is from RNAcentral. Lineage: Eukaryota; Metazoa; Chordata; Mammalia; Primates; Hominidae.
GUUUAGUUAGUUCUAGGUUUCUAUAUUGACAUGUAUUACUGAGAAUACAUUCAACUGCAGGUGCCUAACAAAUUGCAGCUUAAACAAAUAAAAAUGUGUUCUUGUCACUUUAUAAGAAAUGAAGGAAAAUGGUUGAUGGUAUUGGUUCAUUGAUUUGGGGGCUGGUAUCUGUGAUUCCCUUGGCCUUCUUCUCAUCAUGAAAAGCUGGCUACUUCAUUCAAUAUCAGGAUGUGGCACUGAGUAGGGAGUUUAUCUUCAUGUACCUUUCUCCUACCAGAGAGAAAAACUAUCUCCCAGAAGCUUCCUAGGCAAUUUUACCUAAUAUCUCACAGGCAGAUGUAUCAGUCAGCUGAACAAACAACCACAAAAUUAUCUCAGGGACAAGCAACAAUACAUGUUUAUUUCUUUCUCAUAUUUCUGCAGGUCGGCUGGGAUUUCUCUACUUUAGGUUGCAAGUUUUGGCAGGUCAUCCAGGGAAGCUGCUCCACUCCAUGUGUCUCUUAUUCUUGUGUGACCUGAGCUACCCAGGGCAUGCAUUCUCAUGGUAAAGGUCAAAAGCUCCCUGAAGGGCAAGCCUAGGUUUGGAAUUGACACACUAGUCCUGCUGCCCAUAUUCAUUCCAAGGUCAAAAUCAAAGUUGCAGGAAAGUAUACUCUUCUCAUGGAGGUCAUGGGAAGGGGGUAAAUAUUUGCUGAAGGGCAAUCUAUUCUGCCACAAAAGGACUGGAUUGAGGCCGAUUCCUAGGCUGGAGGUGACCUUGACCUUCCCAGAAGCUAAAAGAUAUUUAUCGAAAACACACAAAACAUUUAUCCAAAACUACUGAUAUAGUUUGGAUCCCUUAUCAAUGGCUUGGUGCCCUUCCCACAGUAAUGAGUGAGUUCUCACUCUAUUAAUUCACAUGAGAGCUGAUUGUUUAAAAGAGCCUGGCAUCUCUCUUGCUCCCUUUCUUGUCAUGUGACAUGCCCGCUUCCCCUUCACCUUCCAUGAUGAUUGUAAGCUUCCUGAGGCUUCACCAGAAGCAGAUGCCAGCACUGUGCUUCUUGUACAGUCUGCAGAACCAUGAGCCAAACUAAACCUCUUUUCUUUAUAAAUUACCCAGUCUUGGGGUAUUUCUUUAUAACAAUGCAAAAUGGACUAACACAGCUGCUAACAAGGAAGAAAGAGGUAAAUGGCUUUUAGAUAGGCAAGGAACAGUGUUAAUAGUGUCUGCUAUAAGGUGGGGUUGU